Molecule: long non-coding RNA, 485 nt
Organism: Xenopus tropicalis (tropical clawed frog)
Lineage: Eukaryota; Metazoa; Chordata; Amphibia; Anura; Pipidae
Exons: 3
Source: RefSeq, a predicted model, not a curated record
CAGGCACCCACACUGGUGUAUCCUUUCCCACAGGUCGAGGCUGAGCAUAGGAUGAACACUGGAAGAAGGAGAGUUGUGGGGGAGACAUGAUGGAGCGCUACAGGCACUUACACAGGAUCAUUCUCAUGGUUGUUCUGCAAGGGGGGUUCCCAGGUUCGUACAGUCAGGAUUGGGCCAUUACCCUCCCUGAAUCCAUCAGAGCAUUGAGAGGAUCCUGUGUGGAGAUUCCCUGCACAUUCACCCUCCCCAGGGGCAACAAGGACUUCAGUCUGGUUUGGUACAAGAAAAACAAUCUUCUUCUUAACAAUAUAAUAUUCAGCCAACAGAAUCCCUCUGAUGUGAAUAAGGAUUACAGACGCCGCACUUCCCUGGUCGGCAAUGAGCCAAACAGCUGCUCCCUGAGGAUUAAUGAUGUGCGAGAGAGUGAGACUUAUUAUCCCUAUAUAAAUGGGAACUGUCAUGUCUCUAUCGCUAAUAAUGACCAG